This 869-nucleotide ribosomal RNA is filed under the name uncultured archaeon. RNAcentral describes it as "bacterial SSU rRNA". It matches the Rfam family "Archaeal small subunit ribosomal RNA", at positions 50 to 922 of the family's 1478-position model. The record is from RNAcentral.
CAUGCUAGUCGGACGAGUUUAGACUCGUGGCAGAUAGCUCAGUAACACGUGGCCAAGCUACCCUUCAGUCGGCAAUACCCUCGGGAAACUGAGGUUAACGGCCGAUGUGGGACGCCUGCUGGAAUGCAGCGUUCUCUAAAGGCGACGCUGAAGGAUGCGGCUGCGGCCGAUUAGGUUGACGGUGGGGUAACGGCCCACCGUGCCAGUAAUCGGUACGGGUGAUGAGAGUCAGAGCCCGGAGACGGAAUCUGAGACAAGAUUCCGGGCCCUACGGGGCGCAGCAGGCGCGAAACCUUUACACUGCACGGAAGUGCGAUAGGGGAAUCCCAAGUGCGAGGGCAUAUUCGCCCUCGCUUUUGUUGACCGUAAGGUGGUCAACGAAUAAGAGCUGGGCAAGACCGGUGCCAGCCGCCGCGGUAAUACCGGCAGCUCGAGUGAUGUCCAAUAUUAUUGGGCCUAAAGCGUCCGUAGCUGGCCGCGCAAGUCCGUCGGGAAAUCCACCUGCCCAACAGGUGGGCGUCCGGCGGAAACUGUGUGGCUUGGAACCGGAAGGCUCAGAGGGUACGUCCGGGGUAGGAGUGAAAUCCCGUAAUCCCGGACGGACCACCGAUGGCGAAAGCACUCUGAGAGGACGGCUUCGACAGUGAGGGACGAAAGCUAGGGUCUCAAACCGGAUUAGAUACCCGGGUAGUCCUAGCUGUAAACGAUGCUCGUUAGGUGUGGCACCCACUACGAGUGGGUGCUGUGCCGCAGGGAAGCCGCUAAACGAGCCGCCUGGGAAGUACGUCCGCAAGGAUGAAACUUAAAGGAAUUGGCGGGGGAGCACUACAACCGGAGGAGCCUGCGGUUUAAUUGGAUUCAACGCCGGA